Molecule: RNA transcript, 484 nt
Organism: Piliocolobus tephrosceles (Ugandan red Colobus)
Lineage: Eukaryota; Metazoa; Chordata; Mammalia; Primates; Cercopithecidae
Gene name: 40S ribosomal protein S12 pseudogene
Exons: 1
Source: RefSeq, a predicted model, not a curated record
GCCGCUGCCAAGUCGCGCGGAGGCGGAAGCUUGGGUGCCUUCAAGAUUCAGCUUCACCCGUAACCCACCGCCAUGGCCGAGGAAGGCAUUGCUGCUGGAGGGGUAAUGGACGUUAAUACUGCUUUACAAGAGGUGCUGAAGACCGCCCUCAUUCACGAAGGCCUAGUUCGUGGAAUUCGCGAAGCUGCCAAAGCCUUAGACAAGGGCCAAGGCCAUCUUUGUGUGCUUGCGUCCAACUGUAAUGAGCCUAUGUAUGUCAAGUUGGUGGAGGCCCUUUGUGCUGAACACCAAAUCAACCUAAUUAAGGUUCAUGACAACAAGAAACUAGAGGAAUGGGAAGGGCUCUGUAAAACUGACAGAGGGGAAACCCCAUACAGUUGUUGGUUGCAGUUGUGUAGUAGUUAAGGACUAUGGCAAGGAGUCUCAGGCCAAGGAUGUCAUCAAAGAGUACUUCGAAUGCAAGAAAUGAAGAAAUAAAUCUUUG